AACGAACGCUGGCGGCGUGCCUAACACAUGCAAGUCGUGCGAGAAAGCUCCUUCGGGAGCGAGUAAAGCGGCGCACGGGUGAGUAACACGUAGGUAACCUGCCCCCCAGUCUGGAACAACUAGAGGAAACUCUAGCUAAUGCCGGAUGAGACCACGAUCCCUUCGGGGGUUGCGGCCAAAGAUGGCCUCUACUUGUAAGCUAUCGCUGAGGGAUGGGCCUGCGGGCCAUUAGCUUGUUGGUGAGGUAACGGCUCACCAAGGCUGUGAUGGCUAGCUGGUCUGAGAGGAUGACCAGCCACACUGGGACUGAGACACGGCCCAGACUCCUACGGGAGGCAGCAGUGGGGAAUAUUGCGCAAUGGGCGAAAGCCUGACGCAGCGACGCCGCGUGGGUGAUGAAGGCC
Molecule: ribosomal RNA, 404 nt
Filed under: uncultured bacterium
Lineage: Bacteria
Description: bacterial SSU rRNA
Rfam family: Bacterial small subunit ribosomal RNA
Source: RNAcentral